CGUAGGUGACCUGCGGAAGGAUCAUUCACAAUUUACAAGUGCUCCUACGCUCCAACUCCUCUACGGGGAAGGAGACAAGGACGCUGUGGACGAAAAAUCCAUUCCCACCUUGUGUGUAUCGUAACAAACAACCUAUUUCACAGAAUAUGAUUUUUAGCAAGACCGUCUGAAUGCAUCUCAUUAGCCGAUCUGCGAAAGCAGGGAGGAAAAAAAAAUGAAAUACAACUUUCAACAACGGAUCUCUUGGCUCUCGCAUCGAUGAAGAACGCAGCGAAACGCGAUAUGUAAUGUGAAUUGCAGAAUUCAGUGAAUCAUCGAAUCUUUGAACGCAUAUUGCGCUCUUUGGUAUUCCGAAGAGCAUGCUUGUUUGAGUAUCAGAGAACCUAUCUCGAACCCUUUUUUUCUGAGGGAUCGAGGAACUGAGUAAUUCCGGUUCUUGUCAACUGGGUUACUUGAAAUGAGGGUGCAUCAAUCUCCCUUGGGUUCAUAUUCCUUGGCCUGAAAGCAUAUCUAUUUAGUCCCGUCAAAAGGAUUAUUGCUCUUUGCUGAAAGCGCUAUAGGGGAGCCUGAGAGGAGUCUUGCCUCGAAUACAGGAACUCUAAUCAUAAACUCGAUCUCAAAUCAAGUAAGACUACCCGCUGAACUUAAGCAUAUCAAUAAGCGGAGGAAAAGAAACUAACAAGGAUUCCCCUAGUAACGGCGAGUGAAGCGGGAUGAGCUCAAAUUUGAAAUCUGGCUGGUUUUACCGGUCCGAGUUGUAGUUUAUAGAGGUGUUUUCGGUGGCAGCCUGGGUAUAAAUCCUUUGGAAUAGGGUAUCAUAGAGGGUGAGAAUCCCGUCUUUGACUUAGGUUAUGCUACUAUGUGAUACAUCUUCAAAGAGUCGAGUUGUUUGGGAAUGCAGCUCUAAAUGGGUGGUAAAUUUCAUCUAAAGCUAAAUACAGGCGAGAGACCGAUAGCGAACAAGUACCGUGAGGGAAAGAUGAAAAGAACUUUGAAAAGAGAGUUAAACAGUGCGUGAAAUUGUUGAAAGGGAAACGUUUGAAGCCAGCCGUGCGGGCGGAAAAUCAGCCUAGCUGUGGUGAGGAGCUAUGGGGGGUUCGGAGCGCAAGCCCGGCCUUUUGUGGCAUCCGUAUCACAAUGGGUGCACUUUUUCGUUUGCAGGUCAACAUCAGUUUGCUUCGCUGGAAAAGGCCUUGAGGGAAUGUGGCAGCUUUGGCUGUGUUAUAGCCCUGAGGAGAUACAGUGGAGUGGACUGAGGAGUCGCAGCGUGUGCUCUUGGGCAAGGUAGACUGGGUGCUGUGGGAUGGGGCGAGGUACAAUGCAUGCAUUUUGCUUCGUCUUUUCUGUCUUACACUCGCUCAUCUCUACUCUCCACGCUUAGGA
This 1383-nucleotide ribosomal RNA is filed under the name Mortierella sp. TUFC 20053. Its description in RNAcentral is "eukaryotic LSU rRNA". The stretch from base 612 to 1383 matches the Rfam family "Eukaryotic large subunit ribosomal RNA", at positions 1 to 623 of the family's 3401-position model. Lineage: Eukaryota; Fungi; Mortierellomycota; Mortierellomycetes; Mortierellales; Mortierellaceae. The record is from RNAcentral.